AGGCACAGAGAUGUGCUCUCCGUUCGGGCAAUGGAUACGAGGUGGGUGCAUGGUUGUCGUCAGCUCGUGCCGUGAGGUGUUGGGUUAAGUCCCCGCAACGAGCGCAACCCUCAUUGUUAGUUACUACCAUCAGUUGAGGACUCUAAUGAGACUGCCAACGAUAAGUUGGAGGAAGGUGGGGAUGACGUCAAAUCAUCAUGCCCUUUAUGACCUGGGCUACAAACGUACUACAAUGGCCGGUACAAAGAGAUGCGAAGUGGCGACAUGGAGCGAACCUCAGAAAGCCGGUCUCAGUUCAGAUUGAAGUCUGCAACUCGACUUCAUGAAGGCGGAAUCGCUAGUAAUCGCGGGUCAGCAGACCGCGGUGAAUACGUUCCCGGGUUU
This 384-nucleotide ribosomal RNA is filed under the name uncultured Mollicutes bacterium. Its description in RNAcentral is "bacterial SSU rRNA". It matches the Rfam family "Bacterial small subunit ribosomal RNA", at positions 996 to 1381 of the family's 1533-position model. The record is from RNAcentral. Lineage: Bacteria; Bacillati; Mycoplasmatota; Mollicutes.